RNAcentral lists this ribosomal RNA (253 nucleotides) under uncultured bacterium. RNAcentral's name for it is "partial 16S ribosomal RNA". It matches the Rfam family "Bacterial small subunit ribosomal RNA", at positions 524 to 776 of the family's 1533-position model. The record is from RNAcentral.
UACGUAGGUGACCAGCGUUGUCCGGAUUUAUUGGGCGUAAAGAGCUCGUAGGCGGCUUGUUGCGUCGUCCGUGAAAACCCGUGGCUCAACUGCGGGCUUGCGGACGAUACGGGCAGGCUGGAGUUCGGUAGGGGAGACUGGAAUUCCUGGUGUAGCGGUGAAAUGCGCAGAUAUCAGGAGGAACACCGGUGGCGAAGGCGGGUCUCUGGGCCGAUACUGACGCUGAGGAGCGAAAGCGUGGGGAGCGAACAGG